GGGUAGUGAUUAUAUGAUAAAUGAAAAUGAUUGAGAUUGGUUUCCUUGAGUUUUAUUUGGUUUUGGUUUUGAAAAUGGAAGAUUCUUGUAAAAUGUUAAAGAGAGACGAACAUUGAUGAAAAUAUCCUUUUAAGCCAAUCACCUUAUAAAUCUUUCAUAUUUAGUUUUGAAUGAUUAUAUGGAAGUAUUUGAUUGUUAGUUGAGUGUUGAAUGUAAUGUUUAUCUUAAGGUGAUGUAUUUUCCUCUUGACUUGGAAAGUAGGCAAAUCAUGUAUUUGAUGUGAAAUUAUGUGAAGGUGAUGAUAUUGGUGAAUCCAUAUAUAUUGUUUAUUAUGAUAUGGUGGGUGAAUAUAUAUGUUGUUGUGAAUGUGUUGAUGGUUUAAGAAAUAUUUUGGGCGGAGUUUAAUCGGUGAAAACGGGUUUUGAGCUAAAUGUUGUUUUGUCUUGGGUUUCUCAUACGAACUUAAGCUAUCCUUCGAAUUAAUUUCUAAUAGUUUGUAAGUGGCUUAUGUCCUUGACUACAUGAUUGAUUAAGAUUGAAUUGUAGGAUUUCA
RNAcentral lists this long non-coding RNA (553 nucleotides) under Medicago truncatula (barrel medic). RNAcentral describes it as "long non-coding RNA (MTRU_LNC004073)". Lineage: Eukaryota; Viridiplantae; Streptophyta; Magnoliopsida; Fabales; Fabaceae. The record is from RNAcentral.